Molecule: ribosomal RNA, 360 nt
Filed under: uncultured bacterium
Lineage: Bacteria
Description: partial 16S ribosomal RNA
Rfam family: Bacterial small subunit ribosomal RNA
Source: RNAcentral
CCUACGGGUGGCAGCAGUGAGGAAUAUUGGUCAAUGGCCGAGAGGCUGAACCAGCCAAGUCGCGUGAGGGAAGACGGCCCUACGGGUUGUAAACCUCUUUUGUCGGGGAGCAAAGAGAGUCACGUGUGACUCAUUGAGUGUACCCGAAGAAAAAGCAUCGGCAAACUCCGUGCCAGCAGCCGCGGUAAUACGGAGGAUGCGAGCGUUAUCCGGAUUUAUUGGGUUAAAAGGGUGCGCAGGCGGAGGUGCAAGUCAGCGGUCAAAUUGCGGGGAUCAACCCCGUACUGCCGUUGAAUCUGCAUCCCUUGAGUGCGCGAGAGGUAUGCGGAAUGCGUUGUGUAGCGGUGAAAUGCAUAGAUA